AGUGAACGCUGGCGGUAGGCCUAACACAUGCAAGUCGAACGGCAGCACAGUAAGAUCUUGCUCUUACGGGUGGCGAGUGGCGGACGGGUGAGGAAUACAUCGGAAUCUACUUUUUCGUGGGGGAUAACGUAGGGAAACUUACGCUAAUACCGCAUACGACCUACGGGUGAAAUCAGGGGAUCUUCGGACCUUGCGCGAUUGACUGAGCCGAUGUCGGAUUAGCUAGUUGGCGGGGUAAAGGCCCACCAAGGCGACGAUCCGUAGCUGGUCUGAGUGGAUGAUCAGCCACACUGGAACUGAGACACGGUCCAGACUCCUACGGGAGGCAGCAGUGGGGAAUAUUCGACAAUGGGCGCAAGCCUGAUCCAGCCAUACCGCGUGAGUGAAGAAGGCCUUCGGGUUGUAAAGCCCUUUUGUUGGGGAAGAAAAGCAGCAGGUUAAUACCCCGCUGUUCUGACGGUACCCGAAGAAUAAGCACCGGCUAACUUCGUG
RNAcentral lists this ribosomal RNA (492 nucleotides) under uncultured bacterium. RNAcentral describes it as "partial 16S ribosomal RNA". It matches the Rfam family "Bacterial small subunit ribosomal RNA", at positions 29 to 507 of the family's 1533-position model. The record is from RNAcentral.